UUGUUUUUGUCAGUGAAAGGUCAGAGUUCGUGACCCCGGUGCCGCUGCCGCCGCCGCCCGCGCGCUGGUAGGAGGAGGGCGAAUGUUCUUCUUCCUCUUCCCAGCGCCAGCCUCGCUGCGGCCGCGGGGGGCGGGCGAGCACGCGAUUGGCUGAGCCGCGCGCGCGCACCGGAACGCCGCGGCCGGCACUGCUUCCUCCGGCCCCUGGCGGGCCGGGCGGCGGCGGCGCGGGGCGGAUGCUUGGGGAAGCGCUGUCGGUCCCGAGGCCUGGAGACGGCACUCGGUCGACACUGCGGUCAGACGAAAAUGGAACUUAAACGGCGCGCCGCCACUGUGCCUAGGGUAAAGGGCCGCUUGGUCGUCUUAAAGACCUGGGGACGCGGGACCCCGUUAUUCAGGUGCAAGCACGCCCCUCGGGGGAACGGAGCGGAGCGGGGCGGAGGCUGCGUUCUGGCCGUGACCGCCUCCGCCGAGGCCUCCCGCCGAGCUGAUGGAAGCAGCAGUCGCACCGCAGAGCGACUGUAGGUCGGAAGAAGGGGGUGGUUUAUUGCGUGGGCUUGGGCCCUACUGCACAUACAGGACUUUUUAUUUAGGUUUUAAAGGUCCGAGGAUGCACCAGCUUCUGGUAGUAUCAGAUAAAGUGUUGAAACCCUUCGCUACCUAUUAUUUGGGGUCUCUUAGUGACCGUGUGAUCCACAUCUUGAGUCUGCUCUUUCCCUCGCGGUUUGGAGCUUGUAAACGAUGGUACAGGAGGAUGUGCAGCCCUGGCCGUGCGUGUGGCUCAUGCUGACAGCGGCCUCCCAUGCACCCGAGAGGUCGGGGCACGUGCAGGGGGCAACCAAUGGAUGUUUCUUUCUCCCUCUCCCUAAAAUAAGUAAAUCAAUAAAAUCAGUAAAAAUCUUCUGGUGAGGAUUAAGAAAAAAAGUAUAUAUAAAGCAACUCUUUGCAAAAUAGGUUAGGUAGAUAAAGGAAGUUGCUUCUCUUGACCCUGUGAAUCCCUUAGAUAUUUCUCUUAAUUUAUGGUUUUGACUUGCUUUGGAGGGUGCAGACCACUGAAGUGUUUAGGCUGGACUCUCCUCGAUCAUCAUUCUUUGUAGGCCAGCGAUCCUCUGCUGAUUGAUUUGUUUUCUUGCACUUUUCUUGUCUAUUAUGAAUGAAUACUGUCUCCAAGAUGGAUAGGUUAAUCUUUUAAACAGCCAUUUGGGCUUUUAUCAGGUUGACCCCAACUUUGAGUAUUUUGUCCUUAAUCUUACAAUAUUUCUAUCUGAUAGGAAAUGCUUUAAACACAUCUAUUUUCCCUUCUUCCUUGUUGUCACCUUGCAAGAAAGUAAGUGGGAAAAACAAUUAAAUUUUGUAAUUUCAUGGUAACAUGUUCCUGAAGCUGGAAGGGGCCUCAAGAAAUGAUAUGGUCAAAUCCUCUUAUGGCAGGAAGAUUUUACAGGAGGGAAGGAUAAGGACCAGAAAGUCAAGUGAUAGGCCUAAGCAACGGGCACUUAUGAGACGGACCAGGGAGGAUAUGUCUACUUGUUUAUUGUAGAUUAAAAUCAUAGACGAAACAGUGGAUCUGACAGGCACGCGCAUGCCAGGUCCAGACAUUGAAAUAUUUAAUCCAUCAUCUACAUCUUGUAAAUAAUAAAUCCACUGUGGUUUACAUACAAUGUUUAAUGCCCGACGAAUUAAUUCAAGAUACUGGUGGAGGUGUUGAACCAGAACCAUUAGCCCUCCAUCCUCAUUGACUUCCCUGGACCAUUCUGUUUCUCCUCUCCUGGAUUGUCCUGAAUGUAGAGGAAACUCCUCUCUCUAUAGCUUCUAAGCAAUCCAGUGCACUUACAACCACAAGUUUAAAUAGAGAUUCUGACACCGGGCAUACAGCUGGACAGAGAUCAGAAGAUCUAUAAGGUUUGCAACAGGUCUCCCCUAGAUCAAUAGGAAUAUUAUUUUCCAUCAAACACAUGGUGUGAAACCCUCCACAAGGCCCCUGAACUGAAAAUACAUCAUCGAGUGGCUUGUAGUGAAUUGCGCCAGCAAUUACUCCUGCAUGAUCAUAAUAGAAUCUUGCAGAUUGAAGGGUGGCAAGUGAUAAUUGUGUCAGGAGGUUUGCAGAAACUGCUCCACACAAGUCUGCACAUUCUGCUUGUUCAAUAACAGUAGGAUCACCCAUAGUGUGUACCACAACCUUUGUAACAUGACAAACAUCAACAAUUACUUCAACAGGAGUAUCUUUGGAGACAACAAUAAGUUCAACCCUUUUGUAAGCAACUAAAGCCUUAAGCAAAUGGGAAAGAUGCCAAAACUGAGAUAAGGGAAUUGAAUGAAUAGUUGAGUGCAUUUGGCAACUUGCUCCUCUAAUAAAAGACACCAUCUCUUUAACAUCACUUCUCCAUUUUCCUGCCUUAACAAGCGGCUUAAGCAUCCCGAUAAGGGAGUCAGUAUCUGUGAUGAAGAAACUUCACACUCGAUCUUGUCGAGCUUCAUUCUCUCAUAACCUUCAUUACUUCUGGGACUGGAAUGUUAAUCCAGCAAGCAAUAACUUUGCAAUGAGCGCAUUUUGUAAUGAUGUCCUUGCAGGCAACAACUUGCUUAAAAUUCCAAUUUUUGAUGCAGGGUCAAAUAUUUGAUUCCCGUCUGAUAACGAGAACAUGACAUCGCAUGUUCAUCGAAGUGUAGGAGAGGAUGUUGGUAUGUAUGCAACUGCCUUUAAGUAGGAUGACACCGGUCUAACCAAACUCCUUCGUAGGCUGCCUGCAUACCAGAAAGAUACCAUUAUUAGGUGUCCUGGUAGAGGUUCUAAAUGGCUCAGCGAAAAUCUCUCUAAAUGACAUGGUGAUUCGCCCGAGUCAAGUAAUGAAUCUAACUCACGGGAUUCCUGGUAUAGUGACAUGAAAAUUUCUACUCCUAGCUUAAAGCCUGCUGCAACAUCUGGGUCUCCAUACCAGCUAGUGCAGCGGUUCUCAACCUGUGGGUCGUGACCCCUUUGGGGGUCAAACGACCCUUUCACAGGGGUCGCCUAAGACCAUCCUGCAUAUCAGAUAUUUACAUUACGAUUCAUAACAGUAGCAACAUUACAGUUAUGAAGUAGCAAUGAAAAUAAUUUUAUGGUUGUGGGUCACAACAUGAGGAACUGUAUUUAAAGGGCCAGAAGGUUGAGAACCACUGUGCUGAAAAGUGAUCUAUUGGAAUCCCCUUAUACAUGGGAGGUCUUGACAAGGAAAAGAAGUCUUCUUGAAUUUCUCUUGUGCAACCUGAGCACAAAAAUGUAAGGUAAGUUUUAUUUGCAAGGAUUCCGAAGUGUAAUUGGGAAGAUAACAAGUUAAGUCUGUGUAGGAAAGCGGCCUGAAAUGGAUGGUAUAAUCUUUUUGUGAUUUGUCAAAGUCAGUCAUGUAGUUUGUGGUAAAACCUACAUGUGUAGAUAAAACAUUCAAGCUACCAGCAAGUCCAGCUUGAUCAUCAGAGGCCUGGGAGCCUGUGAGUAAGGGUGCCACCCAUUAUUACAGGAAGAUCAGGUGUGUGGACACCUUUUUCACUCAACAAAAUAGAUAGUAAUCUUGCUAAGUGUUGUCCUACAGCACCCUUGAUUUUAAUCCAGUCACAAGUUGGUAUUAAAUCUUCUGCCAUCUUGCCAAUGCGGCCUUCUGGUAGUCCUGUAAUUGCACCUCUGUUUAUUUUCACAAAUGUUCAUGAGCCAAUGUAAAGAGGGCGUUUUCCUCGUACCAUCCACUCCCUUGGAAACAAGUUGUUACCCAGUCAAAAUAUUAUUGACUGUGCAACCUCAAGCUCAGAUACUGUUUCUCAAUGCAAAUUGUUCAGCAAUGAAUGGCAUAGUUACUCCAUGAAGUACACACCCCCAUGUUGCUAUCCGCAAUUUAUUAGCUCCUUCAACACUACACGGAGUUAAGUAAUCAAUGAUGUUUAAUCCUCUUGUAUUAGGAGCUAAGAUACUUCAUAUGAGCUGAUCUUUAAAUCUUUUGCUUUCUUCCGUAAUGGAUCUCACUGACAUGCUUUGACUGAUUCCGAUUACUGUGCUUGAUUUUUGGAAUUUAUCCAACAUGGAUAAGCCAUAUGCCGCAUUGCUCUUAGUGAAUAAGUAACUCAUUAACCUCGGGUAUUUCGGUUCCAUAUUGAAUAAGUCGUAUUGUGGCGCACACGGAGCGACGUAAGAAGAUAAGCUUAGCCUGUUUGUCUUUUAAUAUCACUGAUUUCUUCAUGUAUAUUCUUUAAUUCUUUGAAAACAUUGUCUGUCUUUUCCUCAAGAGCUUUAAGUUGUGGUCCAGGUGAUUCAGAGGGUCUUUUCAGCACCUCCACCAGUUGGAGCAGUGCGCUCCGGAUGCUACACCCUGAUUCUGCCGACUGAGUUUGAGCCACUGACAGCAUCCCCUGAACUUGGCUGACAGUUUGUUCCAUUGUCAUCUGGUCCAGUGUUACAGACUCCUUGUGGCUGCUAAUUCCGUUAUCUCCAUUGUCUCCUUGCGAGAUGUGCCUUCUUUGGCCUCUUUUCUGGCUUCCGUCCUGUUUGUGUUUUUCUUGUAAAGAUCUCCUCUGCUUCGCUCCUGCUCUCGUCCUCGGAGCUGAGCUGGACAUCGUCCUGAUCACUGUCUAGCAAUCUGUCAGCAAUUAUUUCGAGUGUGCUGAUGCGGACUCUCAGCGACAUCGUGUCAUGUUUUUUAUUGGUUACUGGUUUAUGGCCUAGUCCUUAAUUGCGUCUGAGAGCUUCGGUUAACGUGAGCAAUGCGGCUUCUAGGCUCACUGGCACAUUGCCUUGAACACUAUUGGUUGCUUCGUUGAUUUCUUGAUCUGUGGCUCUGAAGACAGACUUCAACCCGUCAGCAUCUGCAGAACUUAUCAUCUUCUUUUUCAUGGGAGGUUGUGCAACAGCAUCCUCAACUUCUCGAUCAGUCAGUGAUAACAGUGAUUCUUCAGUAGAUUUGUAAUCAUGGAAUGUCUUGUCGAUUCUUCUUUUUCUCGUGUUCUCGACCUUGCAAAGAUUAGGGAAAUUGACCGGUGCAAGCCUUUCAUGGCCAGGGAGCCGAAGAGCGUUAUGGUAGGGGAACAUUGUAUCCCCAUGUUGCUCUCGCAAGGCCUUCUCUGCAUCCGUAAAGGCUUUGAUCUUGCUGCCAACACCUGGAAGCAUGGACGCUCUUGACAAGCCUUCAUUCACAAAUGCCUUCAUAGCAAGGGCGUCAUUUCUGCAUAGGAUGAAAUGAGGUUGAUCUGUGCAAUGAAUGCCUUCCUGGUAGGCCCUACUGUACUAUGGUUCUCCAUAUUCAGUAACGAGCCAAGGAUGAUGGUGUCAAGUCCUUUGGAGGACAGCCAGGAUGCUGCUGCUUUUAAAUCAAACGUAGGAUCUAUAUCAACCACUGGUGGUUGGACCCCAGGCUUGACUGUAGAGUAUAAUGCACUGAAUCUUCUUCUAAUUUGAGCCAUGGGGUUUUGUUGAGGUUUGCAAAUCAUGUGGUACAUGAUACCCAAUGUGCAUUUGAUGAUGCAGUUCACAAUUUCCAUUGUAGGCUUAGCUCCUGAUGGAGCCCAAGGUUGUAAAUUUCCGCGGGUGUUGGGAACUCCUCUGUCUUCAUGUAUAUAAGCAUCGAAGGGUCUUCCAUCUAUCUCAUAUAACUGCGGGAAAACAGCAAAAAGGAACCCUGUGCCCACAGCAAUGCUUCCUCCUAUAAUCAUGGGAACAAUGUGCUUGGGCGCAUUACCCCAACGGUCGAAGCACUUAUGACCAGCUCUCUGGACAGGAGGUGGAUAGCCUUAUCCUCUAGGUCCCCAUCUCCAGAGGCAAUGACAUUGUGUCCUUCCUUUUUAUUUUCAUAGGAAGGCUUAAUAAUUACCUUCAUAAGUACUUUUGUACAUCUUUGUAUCAAUUUUUCUGUAAUAGCUUAUGCUUUAUUGCUAUAUAUAGUAAUAUUUUGUGAAACUUCUGUUUAUAUCAUAUAAUUAUGACAUAAAAUAAACUUUUAAACCUCC
Myotis myotis is the source of this 5964-nucleotide long non-coding RNA. RefSeq lists it as uncharacterized. The transcript has 2 exons. The record is from RefSeq and is a predicted model, not a curated record. NCBI's taxonomy places the organism in Eukaryota, Metazoa, Chordata, Mammalia, Chiroptera, Vespertilionidae.